CCCUUAGAUGUUCUGGGCCGCACACGCGCUACACUGAAGGAGGCAGCGUGUACUCCUGGAUCGAAAGGUUUGGGUAACCCGCGAAUCUCCUUCGUGCUAGGGAUUGAGGUUUGCAAUUAUCCUUCAUGAACGAGGAAUUCCCAGUAAGUGCAAGUCAUAAGCUUGCGCUGACUACGUCCCUGCCCUUUGUACACACCGCCCGUCGCUACUACCGAUUGAAUGAUUUAGUGAGGACUUCGGACUGGGACCGAUGCGGCUUUCGGGCUGCGUCGGUAUUCUGGAAAGAUGUCCAAACUGUNUNAUUUAGNGGAAGUAAAANUCGUANCA
Molecule: ribosomal RNA, 327 nt
Filed under: uncultured eukaryote
Lineage: Eukaryota
Description: partial 18S ribosomal RNA
Rfam family: Eukaryotic small subunit ribosomal RNA
Source: RNAcentral